Molecule: ribosomal RNA, 460 nt
Filed under: uncultured bacterium
Lineage: Bacteria
Description: partial 16S ribosomal RNA
Rfam family: Bacterial small subunit ribosomal RNA
Source: RNAcentral
CCUACGGGAGGCAGCAGUGAGGAAUAUUGGUCAAUGGGCGGGAGCCUGAACCAGCCAAGUCGCGUGAGGGAAGACGGUCCUAUGGAUUGUAAACCUCUUUAGGCGGGGAGCAAUGCCGGGCACGCGUGCCCGGAGGGAGAGUACCCGCAGAAUAAGCAUCGGCUAACUCCGUGCCAGCAGCCGCGGUAAUACGGAGGAUGCGAGCGUUAUCCGGAUUUAUUGGGUUUAAAGGGUGCGUAGGCGGAUUUUUAAGUCAGCGGUAAAAUGUCCGGGCUCAACCCGGGCCGGCCGUUGAAACUGGGGAGCUUGAGUGGGCGAGAAGUAUGCGGAAUGCGUGGUGUAGCGGUGAAAUGCAUAGAUAUCACGCAGAACGCCGAUUGCGAAGGCAGCAUACCGGCGCCCGACUGACGCUGAGGCACGAAAGCGUGGGGAUCGAACAGGAUUGGAUACCCCGGUAGUC